RNAcentral lists this transfer RNA (72 nucleotides) under Crassvirales sp. RNAcentral describes it as "tRNA-Met". It matches the Rfam family "tRNA". Rfam says of the family: Transfer RNA (tRNA) molecules are approximately 80 nucleotides in length. Their secondary structure includes four short double-helical elements and three loops (D, anti-codon, and T loops). Lineage: Duplodnaviria; Heunggongvirae; Uroviricota; Caudoviricetes; Crassvirales. The record is from RNAcentral.
AGCGGAUAGGUGUAAUGGUUGCAUAUUAGCCUCAUAAGCUAAAGGUAAUAAGUUCGAUUCUUAUAUCCGCAA